AGGGACCCCCGAGGGCGAGCGCCUGCGGGGCGCGGCCUUGCCCGGAGGAGCGCUGCCGAGGGAGAGUGGUUCUAGUAAAUACUGCUUGCUGUGUUUUGAUGUUGGUGGCUAAGCUCAUCCAGUGUAUUGUGUUUGGCCCUCUUCGAGUGAGUGAGAGACAGCAUCUCAAAGACAAAUUUUGGAAUUUUAUUUUCUACAAGUUCAUUUUCAUCUUUGGUGUGCUGAAUGUCCAGACAGUGGAAGAGGUGGUCAUGUGGUGCCUCUGGUUUGCCGGACUUGUCUUUCUGCACCUGAUGGUUCAACUCUGCAAGGAUCGAUUUGAAUACCACAGAACCCUAAGCAGAGAAGCCAAGAUUGACCUUGAAUUUCUCAGUGAAGUUUAACACUUCCAUGAAGAAGAAUGAGCAGUUUCCUACUGUGUGCAUUUCAGCUUUCCUUCUCGCCCACCACACCGAUGAGCAGCCACGGUCGAGUCCUGUCCCUGUUGGUUGCCAUGCUACUUUCCUGCUGUGGACUGGCGGCCGUCUGCUGCAUCACCG
Molecule: small RNA, 539 nt
Filed under: Pongo abelii (Sumatran orangutan)
Lineage: Eukaryota; Metazoa; Chordata; Mammalia; Primates; Hominidae
Description: processed transcript
Source: RNAcentral